RNAcentral lists this ribosomal RNA (483 nucleotides) under uncultured bacterium. Its description in RNAcentral is "bacterial SSU rRNA". It matches the Rfam family "Bacterial small subunit ribosomal RNA", at positions 28 to 511 of the family's 1533-position model. The record is from RNAcentral.
GAUGAACGCUAGCGGCAGGCUUAACACAUGCAAGUCGAGGGGUAUUGGUUUUCGGACCAAGAGACCGGCGCACGGGUGCGUAACGCGUAUGCAAUCUACCUUUUGCAGAGGGAUAGCCCCAGAGAAAUUUGGAUUAAUACCUCAUAGCAUUGCGAGAUGGCAUCAUUUUGCAAUUAAAGUCACAACGGUAUAAGAUGAGCAUGCGUCCCAUUAGUUAGUUGGUAAGGUAACGGCUUACCAAGACAAUGAUGGGUAGGGGUCCUGAGAGGGAGAUCCCCCACACUGGUACUGAGACACGGACCAGACUCCUACGGGAGGCAGCAGUGAGGAAUAUUGGUCAAUGGACGCAAGUCUGAACCAGCCAUGCCGCGUGCAGGAUGACGGUCCUAUGGAUUGUAAACUGCUUUUGUACAGGAAGAAACACUACUUCGUGAAGUAGCUUGACGGUACUGUAAGGAUAAGGAUCGGCUAACUCCGUGCCAG